This 5112-nucleotide long non-coding RNA is filed under the name Sus scrofa (pig). RNAcentral's name for it is "lncRNA (ENSSSCG00000053488.1)". Lineage: Eukaryota; Metazoa; Chordata; Mammalia; Artiodactyla; Suidae. The record is from RNAcentral.
CUACAGAUGGUGCAGAAGGAAGCGGGCUUCAAUUACUGGUUAGAGCUAUCUACUGGGAGAUCCCAUCCUCCUAACUUUAGAGUGCCUAUUCCAAACUGAAUUCUUCACAAGUCAGGACACUUUGUGAAAUAGCACCUAGUGGGAUGAGAGACCAAAUUACCAUAUUCUCCUUGUCCUUAGCAUUCAAAAUUUGCUAUUCACUAUUUUCUGAAAUAUCCUGCUCAGCUGUAACAGUCAUUGACCUUGAAUUCAUUGAACAAAUUAUAUAUUGCAGAGUAUAUGGUAAUAUCAUCACCUUAUUGUUAGUGAAUCACAGGGAUCCAUAGAAGCCUGUUAUUGAUUCUCAGCAUAGCUCCAUAAUAGAAGACCAAUUAGUUUUUUUAGCCACACCUGUGGCCUUUAAUUACAUUUUUUAAAGAACUGUCAGACAUACUGGGGGACUUAUGACAUUUAUGACAUUAUAUCAAAUAUAGCGUUUAUAGUGAAAGCAUAUCUUAAAUCCCAAAUGAUGAUCAACAAAGUUUUCAUAAAAUAUUUUGAUCUUUCAUUUAUUUGUAGUAGCUUUGUGUAUGGCAUAAUUGUCUUUCUGGAUGGGUUUUCAGGAACCGUGAGUUUCAGAAGGUUAAACUUGAAUGUAAAUUUGAUGAAUGAAUGGAUUAAUUCAUGGUGACUUAUUAAUUACUGUAUCUAUAAAAUGAGGCUAACACCUAUAGAAUGUGUAAUAUAUGUGUAGUAUGUGAAUAUAUAUUUCAUUGUAAUAUUUUCACUGCUCUGUGUUAAGAAUAAUGAUUAAAAUACACCUUGAAUAGUAUUAGGCUGGAGGUACAUAUUCACCACUCUUUUAUUGUAAGAUAUCAGCCCAUUCACAUAUUUGUAUUACCUGUCUAGUAAUAUAAAGCAUUUUAAUUUCCAAACGUAUAAGUUACUUACAAUGUCUAAAUAUGAAAUAAACAGAGAUAUUAAAAAAGCAAAAUAUUACAGCAUCAAAGUCCUCAUUUCCCAUUUGUUUACACUUAUUAUGUUCCUAUAGUCUGUAAUUUCCGGGCCGUCACUAUUAGUUUAUUUUGCCUGAGAGAUAUUUUUUGCAAAUAAAAAUAUUGGUUGCCUUUCAGUUUAGAAAUUCAGUCCAUUCAAAUCAACCAUCUGGCCUAAUUAAGUCUUCAAGGAGAAAACUCAAUUUCAAAACCAUGUAUAUCCUAACAAAUCAUUGAUAUCGAUACUUGGUAAAAUAUUUGGGGAGAAUUUUAAUAAUCCCCACUGGAUGUCUUAAUGACUUUCAGCAGCACGUUGCUGCAUAUAAAAUGAAUACAAAAGGUCUUAUUCAUUAUUUGAGAUUUGGGUACACAGAGGAUUCCUUACGUUUUCCUGGUUUUAUUUAGACUAAUAAGAUAUAUGGGUAAUUCCGUCUAGUGGCUUAUUUGUUGUAUGAUUUUGGCUAGUUUAUGUAACCUCAAUAAGUAUCAAUGAACUCUUAUUGAAAGCAAGUGUUAUGAACAUAAAGAAAUAUAUGCAAUAUGUGUGACAUUUAGGAAGCAUUUCAUGUAUUGCGUCUGUUAUUAAUGAGCACUAAUUAGAAAACACAUUGGAAAACAAUGGCACGUAAUCAAAGUAACAGAUAAAUCAAAGGCUUUGCUGUUUUGUUCUGUUGUGCAUUAUGUGCUUGUCUGGUUGUUCUCUGUAUAUUUUUUUUAUUCACAUUUUCCUUUGAGUAAUAUCACAAUUAGUUUACAUUCUCUGAAUACCUGCCAGCAGAUGACUGGAAGGUAGAAUCUUGACUGCCAAAGUACUAGUGGGUAUUAUUAAAUGAUUCCAAGGACAUUUCGUAUCUGGGUCAUUAAGAAUAAAUUAUUUGUUCUUGUCAAUUCAUAUUACCAAAUGAAACUAAGAUGGUGUUAAACUGGUCCACUGCAGUCUUAUACCAUCUGCACCUGUGUUAUGCCAUUGCUCACCUUCAGGAGACAAUAAGAAAAACAUAAAUCUUGGUACUCAGCUCUGCAUAUAAUGGGCAGUAGAUAAAAUGUGAAAAUUAAGUGAAGAAGUAAAACGUUAAAACAAAAACUCCAUCAUUUGUCCUAUUAAUAGAGUGAAUUCCAUGCAUUCUUCCUGUCAUUGUGUCACUUGUUACAUUUAAGAGAUAGUCUUAUGAGCAGCUUCAAAUCUUCUAUAUGCAUUGGUCACAGGCAAAUAAAUAUGACUCACUGUAAAUAAUUUUACUCAAUUAAAGUGUGAACUGAUUUAAAAUAAAGAUUUAUUUCUUGGUGUUGUAUUCUAUUUUGAAAAAUGCAGAAUAUUCUAGAUUUGACAUGACAACAAUAUACUCGUACCACAAAUGAGAAGAUUUAUUGCCUUCUAUCCUCUCCAACCUUGGCACAAGGUGUAAAAAAUAAUUGUUUCUGCAUUUAUUGCCAUCUGUUAUAUGAUAAGAUCAACUGGCCUUUUUUUUUUCUGUUUGUGGUGCUUUUUAAGGUUUUUCUUUGGCACUCAGGUCACACCAUCUGAUUUUGCGGCUUUGUAGUUGGCUUAAAUAAGUGUGUGCUUGCUGCUUGUUCUCAUAGAGACUCAGUUCUCAAUGGCUAUUGCCUUAGAUUAUCUGCUGGAGUAAAUUGGUUUCAAUCCAGUAGAAUAUCUUCCUUUGCACUUAUUUGCAAAGCCAUCUAGUCUCUUGUGUAAGAUUUUGGUUUCUUUCCAAUUUUUGCAGCUGUGGGCUAGUAGAAUGAUUACGUUUGAGUUGAAUAUCCUGUUUUAUAUCCAUGCUUUUAGUUUUUGUAGACUUCUUGUAAAUAAUUUAGGAAAUAAUUUCUCCUUCAUUUUGACCAUUAUUGAUCCUAUGAGUUUAUAAUAUAAAGCAACUUAAGUUCUAGAUUGAUGUUAAUUUGGGGUCUGAAGAGUGUUUGGUUUGGCAUAAUUAUGAGAUUUAGUAAGCUAGUUGGGUUUUGUGGGGUAUUUUGCUAAAUUUAAUGUCUUUGGAUUUUCUCUGUAGGCAACUUGCAAGGCAGUGAUGUCUGAUUGCACAUGGUUUAUUUGUACGUUCCUGAAUUCUCUUCUUCUCAUCGAUGUCACCAUCAAAGAAGGAUAUCCUCCAUUUGAGGAUUUGAAAAUACAUGAGUUAAGAGAGAGUCAGUGUGGGAAAAGAAAGAUAGCAGACUGGGGAGAGGCCCUUGCUACCACAUAUCUGAUAAAAGGGAAGUGCUGUUUUAACAAAGUCAAGAAAAACAAGGGUUUCAAGAAAAAAAUGUCAGAAGUUUGAAAUUAUUAUCAUCAGUUGUGUUCCUUUAUCUCAUGUUUUAAAGUAUAGAGUAAUGAUUAUUCUAGAAUCUAAAUGAUCAGAAAGCUAUUAUUUUCCACAUACCCAGAGAUGAUAUUUUUUUUUACAAUAGAUCAGCUACAUUUGACCCCAUCUGAAACAAAAAUGUAAAUAGUUGGCUCAAAGCAGUGCCUGAAUACAUGCUGAUUUAACAAUUACUCUGUGCUGAAUUGCCUGAAACAGCUGAUCCUGCAUAAAAGAUGCUCAUGUCUUCCUGUUAACAUGAUGUGUUAACAUUCUUGCACAACUAUUAGGAUUUGCACUCAUUAACUUCUGUGAAGCUCACAUAGUGCUAAAUUCUUGAAUGUGAGUCGUAGUACACCAUUUGUUUUGUUUCAGUUUGUUCUCAAACAGUGGAAGUUCAGUAUUCAGUGUUCUGCCUACAUUAUUAUUCUUUUAUAAAUUAAGUAAAUGACUUCUAUUGUUUACAAAGACUUUUCUUUUCUUCUUUAGAAAAUCCUUCAAAGAACAACAAAUACAACCAUCCAUAUAACCACCAGGAAAUUUCAGUAACAAGUUAACAAUUACCAAUUUUAUCAUAUUAAAAAAUUGUAUGUAGAUAGACUUAGAGUUUUUUUUUUAGUGAUUUCAAGAUUGUUUUAGAUGUUUUGGACAUCUAAGAUCAAGAUGAUGGAGGAGUAGGAUGUGGUGCUCACCUUCUCCCACAAACACAAUUCUGUGUCCCAUAUAUAUAUAUAUAUACACACACACACACACACACAUACAUGCAGGUAGAACAAUUCUCAGAGAACAAUUCUCACAGAAUUCUACUGAAUGCUAAGAGAAGACUUCAGACUUACAAAAAGGUCAAUAAAACUUCCACAUAAAUGGGUAGAAGUAAAGGGGAAAAAAUGAGAGAAAGAGAUAAAAGAGAGAAAAAAAAAAAGAAUCAGGACAGGACCAGCACUCCUGAGAGGGAGCCACGAAAGGAAUCCACACACUGAGAACAACCUAACUGAUCAGCUAGGAUGGAGGGGGAGCCUCCAAGUCUCUGAGAAAAGCACAACAGUCAGACUGAGGAGGGCAAAGCAGAGAGCCAGUCACACAGACCAUCUGUACCACUGUCCAGUGUACCACAGCCUAAGAUGCUCAGGCAGGGGCUGGGAGCUAAGCUCUGGCUUCUGAGGUCAGUCCCUGAGAGAAGACCCAGGUUGACUGUGUGGAAACAGGCUGAGAGGGCUAGGGACCUUGUGCCACCACCAGGGGAGUGCAGGAGGUAAAGUGGGCUCAACAGAGGAGCAAGGCACCAUUGUUAGAGCAUGUAAGGGGGUACAGGAAUGGCAUAGAAACUUCUUUCUCUGCACACAUGUGGGCUCUCAGGCCAUGUGGGAACUCCUGCCUGAGCUACAGGGUGUGGGUGCAAACCACUGCAUCCAUCUUGGACUCCAGAGGUGGGUGUGACUUAGCACUGCUGAGGGUCCUAUGACCAAGACUGGUCUGCCACCCUAGUCACCCCAGGCGUUGCUGCCAUAGAGUGCCUGGCAACUGAGAGCCACCUGUUGCUCCCCCCCUCUAGAAAUGCACACACCCCGCCGUUGCCCCUGUCAGGGGCCCCAGGCACUUCCUCCACUUCCAUGGGGGUCAGUACCACUGCUAAAAGUCCUGAAACUAGGCAUAGCUGGCAGCACCCAACUCCCCAUGGGUUGCUGCCACUGCCAAGGGUCCAUCGACCAGGCACCACCUGUAUGUGCUGCCUUCCUGGAAGCAUGUGCAGUUUAUGCACCUUCACAACCCCUAUCAAGGGGAUAAUGGUCUGCAGACAAUGAGGAAGGAGGCAGAAAGCAUCCAAACCAAAAGUAACCCUCAUG